This 1381-nucleotide ribosomal RNA is filed under the name Geobacillus icigianus. Its description in RNAcentral is "bacterial SSU rRNA". It matches the Rfam family "Bacterial small subunit ribosomal RNA", at positions 1 to 1378 of the family's 1533-position model. The record is from RNAcentral. Lineage: Bacteria; Bacillati; Bacillota; Bacilli; Caryophanales; Anoxybacillaceae.
AUCCGUCCAUAGAGUUUGAUCAUGGCUCAGGACGAACGCUGGCGGCGUGCCUAAUACAGCAAGUCGAGCGGACCGAAUCGGAGCUUGCUCUGGUUGGGUCAGCGGCGGACGGGUGAGAACACGUGGGCAACCUGCCCGCAAGACCGGGAUAACUCCGGGAAACCGGAGCUAAUACCGAUAACACCGAAGACCGCAUGGUCUUUGGUUGAAAGGCGGCCUUUGGCUGUCACUUGCGAUGGGCCCGCGGCGCAUUAGCUAGUUGGUGAGGUAACGGCUCACCAAGGCGACGAUGCUAGCCGGCCUGAGAGGGUGACCGGCCACACUGGGACUGAGACACGGCCCAGACUCCUACGGAGGCAGCAGUAGGGAAUCUUCCGCAAUGGGCGAAAGCCUGACGGAGCGACGCCGCGUAGCGAAGAAGGCCUUCGGGUCGUAAAGCUCUGUUGUGAGGGACGAAGGAGCGCCGUUUGACAAGGCGGCGCGGUGACGGUACCUCACGAGAAAGCCCCGGCUAACUACGUGCCAGCAGCGCGGUAAUACGUAGGGGGCGAGCGUUGUCCGGAAUUAUUGGGCGUAAAGCGCGCGCAGCGGCUCCUUAAGUCUGAUGUGAAAGCCCACGGCUCAACCGUGGAGGGUCAUUGGAAACUGGGAGCUUGAGUGCAGGAGAGGGGAGCGGAAUUCCACGUGUAGCGGUGAAAUGCGUAGAAUGUGGAGGAACACCAGUGGCGAAGGCGGCUCUCUGGCCUGUAACUGACGCUGAGGCGCAAAGCGUGGGGAGCAAACAGGAUUAGAUACCCUGGUAGUCCACGCCGUAAACGAUGAGUCUAAGUGUUAGAGGGGUCACACCCUUUAGUGCUGCAGCUAACGCGAUAAGCACUCCGCCGGGGAGUACGGCCGCAAGGCUGAAACUCAAAGGAAUUGACGGGGGCCCGCACAAGCGGUGAGCAUGUGGUUUAAUUCGAAGCAACGCGAAGAACCUUACCAGGUCUUGACAUCCCCUGCCACCCAAGAGAUUGGGCGUUCCCCCUUCGGGGGGACAGGGUGACAGGUGGUGCAUGGUGUCGUCAGCUCGUGUCGUGAGAUGUUGGGUUAAGUCCCGCAACGAGCGCAACCCUCGCCCUCGUUGCCAGCAUUCAGUUGGGCACUCUAGAGGGACUGCCGGCGACAAGUCGGAGGAAGUGGGGAUGACGUCAAAUCAUCAUGCCCCUUAUGACCUGGGCUACACACGUGCUACAAUGGCGGUACAAAGGGCAGCGAACCCGCGAGGGGGAGCGAAUCCCAAAAAGCCGCUCUCAGUCGGAUUGCAGGCUGCAACUCGCCUGCAUGAAGCCGGAAUCGCUAGUAAUCGCGGAUCACAUGCCGCGGUGAAUACGUUCCCGGG